Molecule: ribosomal RNA, 498 nt
Filed under: uncultured bacterium
Lineage: Bacteria
Description: partial 16S ribosomal RNA
Rfam family: Bacterial small subunit ribosomal RNA
Source: RNAcentral
GACGAACGCUGGCGGCGUGCCUAAUACAUGCAAGUCGUGCGGACCUUUUAAAAGCUUGCUUUUAAAAGGUUAGCGGCGGACGGGUGAGUAACACGUGGGCAACCUGCCUGUAAGACUGGGAUAACGCCGGGAAACCGGGGCUAAUACCGGAUCGUUUUUCCUCCGCAUGGAGGAAAAAGGAAAGGCGGCUUCGGCUGCCACUUACAGAUGGUCCCGCGGCGCAUUAGCUAGUUGGCGGGGUAACGGCCCACCAAGGCAACGAUGCGUAGCCGACCUGAGAGGGUGAUCGGCCACAUUGGGACUGGGACACGGCCCAAACUCCUACGGGAGGCAGCAGUAGGGGAUCUUCCGCAAUGGACGAAAGUCUGACGGAGCAACGCCGCGGGAGUGAAGAAGGCCUUCGGGUCGUAAAACUCUGUUGCCGGGGAAGAACAAGUGCCGUUCGAACAGGGCGGCGCCUUGACGGUACCCAGCCAGAAAGCCACGGCUAACUACGUG